GUGGGGAAUAUUGGACAAUGGGCGCAAGCCUGAUCCAGCCAUGCCGCGUGAGUGAUGAAGGUCUUCGGAUUGUAAAGCACUUUAAGUUGGGAGGAAGGGCAGUAAGUUAAUACCUUGCUGUUUUGACGUUACCGACAGAAUAAGCACCGGCUAACUUCGUGCCAGCAGCCGCGGUAAUACGAAGGGUGCAAGCGUUAAUCGGAAUUACUGGGCGUAAAGCGCGCGUAGGUGGUUUUGUAAGUUGGAGGUGAAAUCCCCGGGCUCAACCUGGGAACUGCCUCCAAAACUGCAUGACUAGAGUACGGUAGAGGGUAGUGGAAUUUCCUGUGUAGCGGUGAAAUGCGUAGAUAUAGGAAGGAACACCAGUGGCGAAGGCGACUACCUGGACUGAUACUGACACUGAGGUGCGAAAGCGUGGGGAGCAAACAGGAUUAGAUACCCCGGUAGUCC
This 450-nucleotide ribosomal RNA is filed under the name uncultured bacterium. Its description in RNAcentral is "partial 16S ribosomal RNA". It matches the Rfam family "Bacterial small subunit ribosomal RNA", at positions 354 to 796 of the family's 1533-position model. The record is from RNAcentral.